GCCCUCUCAGGGUCACACCCGGAGAGUUUCCAGUACUUUACCAGUCUUGGCUAUGAGAGGGAGAGUCAAGCAGAGGCAUACCCAUUCCAUUCCUAGCUUGGCUGGUGGCUAAUGAGUGGAAGGCAAUCUGUUACAAGU
RNAcentral lists this small nucleolar RNA (138 nucleotides) under Ornithorhynchus anatinus (platypus). The record is from RNAcentral. Lineage: Eukaryota; Metazoa; Chordata; Mammalia; Monotremata; Ornithorhynchidae.